RNAcentral lists this ribosomal RNA (659 nucleotides) under Lichtheimia hongkongensis. RNAcentral describes it as "eukaryotic LSU rRNA". It matches the Rfam family "Eukaryotic large subunit ribosomal RNA", at positions 56 to 615 of the family's 3401-position model. Lineage: Eukaryota; Fungi; Mucoromycota; Mucoromycetes; Mucorales; Lichtheimiaceae. The record is from RNAcentral.
GGAAAAUAACCAUGGAUUCCCCUAGUAACGGCGAGUGAAGAGGGAAAAGCUCAAAGUUGGAACCUGGCUGCCCUAGGCAGUCCGGAUUGUAAACUAAAGAGCGUGAUUCCAGGCAAGCCGGUUGACCAAGUCCUUUGGAAUGAGGCGCCACUGAGGGUGAGAGCCCCGUAAGUCGACUGAGCAUUUGUCUUUUGUGCUUCGCGUUCAAAGAGUCAGGUUGUUUGGGAAUGCAGCCUAAAGCUGGUGGUAAAUCCCACCUAAAGCUAAAUACAGGCGAGAGACCGAUAGCGAACAAGUACCGUGAGGGAAAGAUGAAAAGAACUUUGAAAAGAGAGUUAAACAGUAUGUGAAAUUGCCAAGAGGGAAGCAUUUGGAGUUAGAUUGACUAGGAGUUAAUCAGCUUGGUCUUUGGACUGGGUGUACUUGACUUCUUACAGUCUGCCAAUAGCAGUUAGUCCUAGUGGAAAAAACCAGAGGGAAGGUAGUCCUUCGGGAUGUUUAUAGACCUUUGGAAAAUACACUGGGAUUGACUGAGGAAUGCAGUAGAUGCCACUAAGGCUUCGUCUAGUGGGUGCUAGGCAAAGGUACUUGGUAUUUUCAGCUUGCUGAUGUGCUAGGUUACUCGAGUCUAGUCGCCUACUAGAACUGUAAUCUACUUU